This is a long non-coding RNA of Zophobas morio, 430 nucleotides long. RefSeq lists it as uncharacterized. NCBI's taxonomy places the organism in Eukaryota, Metazoa, Arthropoda, Insecta, Coleoptera, Tenebrionidae. The record is from RefSeq and is a predicted model, not a curated record. The transcript is spliced from 3 exons.
GACGGAUUGUAGAUAUGCCGAUACUGAUCUGCCUGUUAGAGUUUAUUUGUUUUUACGAAGUAUCGGUAUACUGCUUCUAUCCAUUGUAAAUGAUUUUAAGCAAGUUUGUGUUCCCUAUUCUUAUUGAUUCCAGUGACUUUCCUGGUCUUGCCCUUUUUCUCUCAAUUGGUAAGGGCUACAAACACACAAACUUGUAAGACCAGAAAAAAGUUCUAGUUUAAUAAAUUAAAAUUAUUAGAGUCGUCAGCCACAAGAAAGUAGUACAACUGCUCUAAUAAAAAGAAGCUUGAUUGUGCUGUCAAGAAUUUCAAGUUAUGUAAUAAUAACUUUGUUUAAUUUGAGUAUUUAAGGUUUCAAAGAUAAGUAUUUCUACGACACUAAAAAAAGUGAUACAGCAAUUUUAUGUUUAAUACAUGCAGGUAAAUAUUAC